AGCUUAAUAUUUAUUUGUUUACCUUUUUAAGCAUUUUUUUCAAUGUAAGUUGUUUAAGUUGCUUCGUCUAAUACUUUAUCUUUAAUUCUGUAGACAGACAUAAUCUCUUGUUCAGUUACAUAGCUGAAAUCCUAUAACUACUAUUUUGAGAAUUCCGACUAACUUGUCAAUCGAAAUUUUCUCGUUUUCAAUAACUUCUCUGUCAUUUUCUUCACUGUCGGUAGUGGUAUUUUCUGGAUUUAUAACCAUACUACAUAUUUUGCCACUCAUUAAUUGAUUGAAGAUUGAGAAGCAUUGUCAUCACAAUAAAAGACUUUUAUAUCGCUUUCAUUUAUUACCACUUCUCCACAUUUCUUUACAAAAUCUGUUAAUUGGAAAAUUUCACCUUUGUUUAGCGAUAUCCAAAAACAUUUAAAAUUAGCGGCUAUCAUCAUCAAAUUUAGCUAUAUUUCAUUAUACAUAUUUAGCUAUGCAUCAUGAGCUUGGCGACUAACGACAAGUUGUUCUGCUAAAUUUUAUCUUGUGUCUAUCGCAGACUCAGACAAAUAAGCCUGAAAUAUAUUAGUUAUUUAUUAUACUUAUGUCUAAUUCUUGCACAUGCUUAAGUGUUAUGUAAGUCCUGAAUAAAUAAAUUCGCACAUAUACUUAAGGCUUAUGGAGGGCUGGCACUAGAUAUCUUACUGCCUCAUGCAGUCUCUGCGGGUCCUAAAUUCUGCUACCAAGCGUCUUCCUUUGUCAUCUCUAAAUUCUGCCACCUGUUUCUGGCUUUAUGUGAAUAAGGAAUUAGUUAUUCAUAAUUCAAAGAGCACUAAAUGUAAUCUUUUGGCCUAUGAGUAUCAUAAACAAAAUCCAUUUUUAGCAUAUGGAAAGAAAUUUUUCCUGUCAACAUUACUUAGCACAGUUAACUUAAAUCAUUUGUAAUCAUCACCAAGCAUAAUGUCAACAUACAAGGUUACCAUACUCUUCCUUAUUCAAUUACUAACAUAAAAAAAAAAAAAAAAGUGUUUAGGCAUCGCUAUAUGAGUCAUUAGUCAAGUUGUAAUGUGUUGAUAAACAUGGCUGAUGCCAAGCUGGCGAAGCAAAAUAUAAUAAAUAAUGAUUCGCCAGCUUGGCAUCAGGCAUAUAAGAUAUUAGUAAGUUUAAAUUCAACGAUGUAUCUAUGUAGAAUGUUUUGCUUUCAGAUGUAAGCCAAGCAGGCAAUUUGGCAGCUACAGAGCCAAGUUAUUGAUGAUACAAAUUUAUGCUAAAAUGAUUUGUUUCUUCAAUAACAAGAUAUUUUAUUUAGUGUCAAAGUGAAAUUAAGAAUCGGGACCGUCCAGAUGUUUUAUUAUGCGCAGAGAAGGGAAUGAAAUGCGCAUGCGUAAAGCCUAGGAGAAAAACGUUGUUGGUGGUUUUGAGGUCCGGAUUUUAGAUCAUUCCGGAUAAUGUACAUCUGGAUUUCCGACUUUGUCCUGUAUAAUAGAAAAUUCAUAUUUUACUGACACUUUCUGUCAGCCGUAUUUAAGCAAUUGCUACUAAUAAAGCCUCAAACAUAGCUUCAUUUUCCAUUCAUGGAAGAUUGAAUAUAAUAAACAUAAUAUGUAUUUUACAGUGAAAAACUGUGGUAUUAGCACAAUGCAAUUAUGAAAAACAAGAUAACUUUUUUUUUUCCCUCUCGCAUGUUCAAACAGGCAACUCUUCUUCUUGCACCUGACAGAUUAGUAAACGUUUGUUUCUUGCUAGUCUAGGUGAAAGGUGCCAGAUCUAUUUUUCAUCCAGACUGCUGCAGAAGGCAAGUACCCAGCGCUGAGCAACAAAUUUAAAAUGAUGCAUAUUACAAUUGCUUCUUCUUUUUACAGUGGAGAUAUAAAUACCAAUAGUAUGAAAUUUCCUGCGAACAUUUUCUACAACUGAUCAUUUAUAUAUUUUCUAGAAAUACAUAUUUUAUGUUUAGAAUUUUUUAAUAAAGAGGGUAAAAUUAUUUAUUCUUUACUAUAUUAUAUUUGCAUAUAAAAGGCUUAAACCUUUUGUUGUUAUAAUUUUGGCUGUAUUUUUCUUUUAGUUGCAAAUGCGUGAAGUGUAAUAUAAAAAUUUAAUGUACACAUAAAAUGGCAUGAGGAAUUAUUUGUAUGAUAUUUUAAGUAAAAUCUAAUGCUAGAUGGAUAUAUGCUGAUCAAUUCAAAAAUAAUUUCACAUGGAAUUUAGUGUACUAGAUUCUGGCUUGUUAUGCAAAAAAGCGCAUUUUAAAUGGAAGGAAAUUCUGUACUUUUUUACUCUGUUUAUAGAAAAGUUUUAUAUCGGUAUUUUGUUGUUUAUAAGUGGAAAGAUUAUUUGUUCAUAUUUUAUUGCUGAAAGCUGAACAGGUAUGUGUAAUGUGAAUAUCUUUACGUUAAUGGGCUUAACAAUGGAAUUUGAAUAUUAUACAAUCUUUUUGAUUUGAUAUAGUUUAAGUGUACUUGUAAUGCAUAUUUGAUGAAAGUGUUUCUGACGGAAUUUACCUUAGGUACCAUUUAGUGUGUUCAAUGUUAAUGAUACUUGAUAUAAUAUUUUUUUACUAUUAAAUCUGUCCACAGUAUGUGCAAUAUUUUCAGUGUACAUUAAAACUUCAUUCAUUUAAAGAUUUUCAUUAAAUGCUGCUUAAUGUUAUCAUUCGGAUAUUAUUAUCGAGUAAAAUAUGUCAUGUAUUGUGAUCAACAGCAGUUCAGUUAAUAUGAUCAAACUGUUGUCAAAUUGAUCUUUUGAAUCAUGUUGCCAAGUGUUCAAACAGCAUGUUUUCGAUUUUAGUCAACCAUUUAAAAUAAGGCAAAAAAGCAACCUCAGGUUUGAGUUAGAUUUUGAAUAAUUCUAUUGAUUUUGAAGAUGAAUAGACAUACAUCCUGUUUUUCAGGAGUGAAAAAAAAUUCUGAAGAUCCCCCCCAAAAAUUUCUGAAGAUUGAAUUUGUGCCAAACUAAGGUUGCUUUUUUAGCUAACUUUAAAUUUUACAUUUGCAUAAUUUCUUCCAGUGAAUGAGAGAUAUCCUUCAAGUAUUAUGAUUAGGGGUACAGUAUUAGUCAAAUAAUUUCCAGAAAUGUUAUGAACAUUUCAUAAAUGAACUUUUGCAUUAAAGAUUUUAUAAACAGUUCAUACAUAAAGAUUUGCAUUUCUGUAAUUAAAAUUCUGGGAACGUCUUCAGUUACUAAAGCUCUUGUUUUAGUGCUGUUUUGAAGGAUAUUUUUUGAUAACAUUUAUCAAAAUAGCAGUGGACAUAUGUGAUCACAAUUGAGUGGCAUCAUUUGUAUAAAAUUUUAAGCCUAGUAAUCAUGAGUUUUAAAUAUAGGUUUAAAAGAAAAAAAGAACUGAAUGAGAAUUUGAUAAUUUUGAAAUUGCCGAUCUGAGUAUCUUUUUAAUGGGUAAAAGUGAACAAAAUGUAUUCAUAGUCUGUAUUAUGCAUGGCAUAUAAUAUUUAUGAAUUUAACAAUUUCAUAAAUCAUACUAUCAUAUUCAUUACUGGUAUCUACUUCGUAUGUAAGAUUCAAGCUCUUGUAAAACAUAUUUCAAUUAAAUGUUAUGCACAAAUGUAUAUUUUAUGGUUCAUGAAAACAUAUUCAUUAGAUUCUGUACUAUUUAAAUUAUUGCAGAUAUGCUGAAACUGAGAGCAUUGAGGUACUAGAAUAUGAUAUUUCAACAGAUUCGUAUGAAUUCAAGUGAAAGCUCAGUGCUACAAUAGCCAUUAGUUGCAAGAUGUACACAUAUAUCAACUUUUAAGGGAGGGAAAUCUGUCAUUCAGUUUUAGUAAUAGAAAUAUUUCAUGUCUUAUAAUAAAGAUAUCAUUUUUAAUCUAUUAAAACAAAUCAAAAUUUCAAAUUUAUUUCAAUGUAAUGAUGCUUAAUUCAUGUUAAUCUCUUUAAAUAUUAGUUCAAGUAUACAGGUUUAAACUUGAAAAUAUAAAAAAUUAUAAAGAAUUGCAAUGACAUAAUUUUCGGUUUUCUUUUCCAUGGUUUUAGAAAGUUUAAGAAAUUGUUUGAAUCAAAAAUCCUGUUAUAUUAAAAUUAUUCAGGUGAAAAAUAAAUAUUAUUAUUUGUACUGUAUUUCAGAAAGUGAAAAACUUAUAAAUGUUUUACUUAGAAAUAUGUAUUUUACAGGAAUGCAGUAGCUUUUUAUUUAUUAUUCUCCGUACCUAGACAGUAUUUUAAAAUACACUUUUAUUGAAUCUGUCCUCAUUGAUUGCUUUAUGCACAUUGGAACUGUUUUCAGAUGGUUGACAGAAAUUCAUGUCUUUUUACGUGUGUAAUGGGUGUAAAUUUGUGCCAGCCAUUUUUUAAUCAUAUAUUUUCAAUCCCUUAUAUUAGUUUGACUUAAAUGUAUUCUCAUUAUUUUCAGAUAAUUUAAGUGUGAUAAAAUUUAAAAUAUUAUUAAUGAAUAACUUUUAAAGCAUUUAUUAUUUUUCAUCAAAUUGUAUUUUAAACAAUUUUUCAUUACUGAAAAACACAUGCAUUGCUGCCAAUGCUACCUGUAUGUAUGUUGGCAUAGAGUGGCUAAGUCUGAGGUGAAGUUAUUCAUUUACCUAAGUUAAAAUAUGUUAUCUAAAUUUAAUGAUUUAUAUGUAUAUAAAUAAGCGGUGACUGAUUGUACAGUCUGAUGUAGAUAAUUGUACACUUUGGCAGGUUUUUUAGCGGACAUGAUUAACUGUUUUUAAAUGUACAGAUUUGACGACAAAUUGCAACUACAAAGUAACAUCCAGCAGUGCCAAGGAAUUUGUUGCAGUGUCUGUGAUUAUUCCAUGUUAUGAUUCUUCAAAGUCAAGUGUUUUGAAAGUUCCUGUGUGAAUUCCCCUCCCCCUAAUUUGGAUUGGGUCUGUGGUAUUUGUUUUCAGCUAUUUUUGUGAAGAAUGUGCUUGCCUUGUCAAAAUAUAAUGUGGUGUUUUUUGCAUCUCGAAGCAAUGUAGAUAUUGUUAUGCAUCUGCUGACUAUUGUUAGAACUGUACAUUGCUAUUUAUUGGUUUAUUAGGUUAUAAAUAAAAAAGUCAAAUGAUACAAUUCUUUUUCAUAAAAA
This is a long non-coding RNA of Stegodyphus dumicola, 5011 nucleotides long. Lineage: Eukaryota; Metazoa; Arthropoda; Arachnida; Araneae; Eresidae. The record is from RefSeq and is a predicted model, not a curated record.